RNAcentral lists this transfer RNA (83 nucleotides) under Sphingomonas sp. Its description in RNAcentral is "tRNA-Leu". It matches the Rfam family "tRNA". Rfam says of the family: Transfer RNA (tRNA) molecules are approximately 80 nucleotides in length. Their secondary structure includes four short double-helical elements and three loops (D, anti-codon, and T loops). Further hydrogen bonds mediate the characteristic L-shaped molecular structure. tRNAs have two regions of fundamental functional importance: the anti-codon, which is responsible for specific mRNA codon recognition, and the 3' end, to which the tRNAs corresponding amino acid is attached (by aminoacyl-tRNA synthetases). tRNAs cope with the degeneracy of the genetic code in two manners: having more than one tRNA (with a specific anti-codon) for a particular amino acid; and 'wobble' base-pairing, i.e. permitting non-standard base-pairing at the 3rd anti-codon position. RNAcentral also lists the same sequence under 4 other names. Lineage: Bacteria; Pseudomonadati; Pseudomonadota; Alphaproteobacteria; Sphingomonadales; Sphingomonadaceae. The record is from RNAcentral.
GCGGACGUGGCGAAAUCGGUAGACGCAGGAGACUUAAAAUCUCCCUCUUCGGAAUGCGGGUUCGAGUCCCGCCGUCCGCACCA